UACCAGCAGCCACAGAGGAAGGAGCUCUUUCUGACCAAAGCUGAGAGGAGGGGCUUGACUGCAGGAGAAAGUGUUUGCAGGAACCUAAGAUCAUGAACUCCUUGAGCCAGGCAAUGUGAUUUUUCUACAGCACCAAGGACACUCAAAGAGUGCCACUGGUGAGUUCAAGCAACGAGAAAGGGGAGAGGUAAUUAUCUGAUCUGCUUCUGAUGUCACAAAGUUGUGGGGCAACAAGGAAACAGAAAAGACAUUUUGGCCUUAUGUAUUGAUGAAGAUUUUUGAAGACC
This is a long non-coding RNA of Alligator mississippiensis (American alligator), 287 nucleotides long. RefSeq lists it as uncharacterized. NCBI's taxonomy places the organism in Eukaryota, Metazoa, Chordata, Crocodylia, Alligatoridae. The transcript has 3 exons. The record is from RefSeq and is a predicted model, not a curated record.